This 694-nucleotide long non-coding RNA is filed under the name Trifolium pratense (red clover). RNAcentral's name for it is "long non-coding RNA (TPRA_LNC004184)". Lineage: Eukaryota; Viridiplantae; Streptophyta; Magnoliopsida; Fabales; Fabaceae. The record is from RNAcentral.
GAUCUGAAUUCUCUAACUUUCUAGCGGGAAAGUCACCUGACUUUCAAUUCUUAUGGACCAUUGGAUCAAUUGUGUGGUUCAACCAGCACCAUGUCUCCAUUUUUAUUUUUAUUUUAAUAAAAAAUCAAAGGCAAAAGAAUUCUACACACCAAAUUUUGAUCUUAUUAUCCUCUGCUACACCAUAUCUUUCAAGUUAAUCACCAUUAUACCAUCGUCGUCGACUGAAACCACCACCACCAUCAUCAAAUCCGGCCAAAAACCGCCGCUGCAUUCCCACUCGGUGAGGGAGGUUUUUUUCUCAAUAUUAUAUUCAAGGCUUUAGAAGAAAUCUGACUUGCAUUCCGAUCGAAGACACAGUGACAACGGCGGCGGUCAACAACAUAGUAGACGAAGGUCGGCGGCGAAGAAGCUCGACUUCGAUUUUGUGGUGAGGAAGAUACAGUUUUUUAUUUUAUUUUAAAUUUUAAAAAAGAAAUAAAAAGGACAUGUGACAUGAUAUCAAUAGUUGGAUUAAUCGGAUGGACUGAAACAAUUGAAAGGCAGGUGCAGUUCCCGCAAUAAAGUUAGACGACAGCGGUCCUAGAUAGAAGAAGUCAAGAAGAUACAACGGAACGCAGCGCACAAAACUCACAAAAGAAAAGUCAUGCACCAAGCACCGUAUAUAGGAUAUACAUACAUACAUAAUACUGUACAU